AAAUGGGAAGGUUUGUGUGGAGGGUUUUUGGAAGUUCUGCAGGUUUGCAGUCAUAAUUGCGAGAUUUGUAUUCGCCUGCUCCCCCGUCUGCUGAGAAAUGGUUUCGUUCCAUUGUCCGUGCCUUCUGUCUGUGUUUUCAAUCCGCAAUGGAAGGAAGCGUGUAAGUGAAAGCAUUAAGGUCUCUCCAGUCCAGGCUGCAGUGUGGAGUAGUGCCUUGGGCUCUGGAGCCGUGACAAGGGGGUUGAUGGUUUAAAUCCUGUGUGAGACACAGCUGUUAUAUCCUUGAGCAAGGUAGGUAACUCGUAUUGCUCUGGGAAAUAAAGUACCUUUCUUUUAAAUGGUAUUCUCUGGGCCACCAUUCUAAAUAAGAAUGUGCUCUCAAGUGAUAGUUCCAGCAUUGCCUAGUUAAGUAAGGCUUGGCCUGGUCAGUUUAGGAUGGUAGAUCUCUUGGGUUAGUGGUGUUGCUGGACCAGUAGGUGACACUCCUUUCUCUGGACUAGAAUGUCCAAACCAGUGAACAAUUGGAUGCACUUCACUGUGAUGAACAAUAGAUCACAAUGAACUGUAUAUGUAAAGCAUCUUGGGGUGAACAGUGCUGUUUAAUGCAGCCAUAUUACCCGGAAACUCACAACUGACAACCCAGUGAAGCUCAGCAGAUGUGAGCCUGGUCAGCACCUGGAUGAGACCUCUUGGGAAAAACUAAGGUUGCUGCUGGAAGAGGCAUUAGUGGGGCCAGCAGGGGGCGUUUCUCAAAAAGAGUAGGGGUGAAACCCUGGCGUCCUGGCCAAAUUUCCCAUUGGCCUUUGCCAGUCAUGGCCUCCUAAUAAACCCCAUCUAUGAAUUGGCUUCGUCACUUUGUUCUCCUCCCUAUUAAUAGCUGGUGUGUGGUGAGCGUACUGGUGCACUAUGGCUGCCAUCGCAUCAUCCAGGUGGGCAUUGGUGGUGGUGGAUGGGAGUCCCCAUUACCUGUAAAGCACUUUGAGUGGAGUG
Molecule: long non-coding RNA, 990 nt
Filed under: Lepisosteus oculatus (spotted gar)
Lineage: Eukaryota; Metazoa; Chordata; Actinopteri; Semionotiformes; Lepisosteidae
Description: lncRNA (ENSLOCG00000021099.1)
Source: RNAcentral